CUNCAGGUGAUCCUGCGGGACCCGACUGCUAUCGGAUUGAGAUUUAGCCAUGCGAGUCGAACGUCCCCCUGUUGCGGGGGGCGUGGCGUACGGCUCAGUAACACGUAGUCAACCUGCCCUGGAGACAAGGACAACCCCGGGAAACUGGGAUUAAUCCUUGAUAGGUCAUCUCAUCUGGAAGGAGAGAUGGCUUAAAGGGGUACGCGGGCUUCUUCCGCGAAUCUGCUCCAGGAUGGGACUGCGUCCGAUCAGGCUGUUGGCGGGGUAAUGGCCCACCAAACCUGUAACCGGUACGGGCCUUGAGAGAGGUGGCCCGGAGAUGGACACUGAGAGAAGGGUCCAGGUCCUACGGGGCGCAGCAGGCGCGAAACCUUCGCAAUGCGCGAAAGCGUGACGAGGUUAAUCCGAGUGACUCCCGCUGAGGGGGUCUUUUGUCAGCUGUAAAUAGGCAGGCGAAUAAGGGGAGGGCAAGCCUGGUGUCAGCCGCCGCGGUAAUACCAGCUCCUCGAGUGGUCGGGGCGAUUAUUGGGCCUAAAGCAUCCGUAGCCGGUUCCGUAGGUCCUCUGUUAAAUCCAACCGCUUAACGGUUGACCUGCAGAGGAUACCGCGGGACUAGGAGGCGGGAGAGGCGGACGGUACUCCGCGUGUAGGGGUAAAAUCCUUUGAUCCGCGGAAGACCACCAGUGGCGAAGGCGGUCCGCCAGAACGCGCUCGACGGUGAGGGAUGAAAGCUGGGGGAGCGAACCGGAUUAGAUACCCGGGUAGUCCCAGCCGUAAACGAUGCUAGCUAGAUGAUUCAUUCGCAAGUCGCGAAUGAAGUGUCGCAGGGAAGCCGUUAAGCUAGCCGCCUGGGGAGUACGGUCGCAAGACUGAAACUUAAAGGAAUUGGCGGGGGAGCA
Molecule: ribosomal RNA, 899 nt
Filed under: uncultured archaeon
Lineage: Archaea
Description: bacterial SSU rRNA
Rfam family: Archaeal small subunit ribosomal RNA
Source: RNAcentral